RNAcentral lists this ribosomal RNA (275 nucleotides) under uncultured bacterium. Its description in RNAcentral is "partial 16S ribosomal RNA". It matches the Rfam family "Bacterial small subunit ribosomal RNA", at positions 338 to 605 of the family's 1533-position model. The record is from RNAcentral.
CCUACGGGUGGCUGCAGUGGGGAAUAUUGGACAAUGGGGGCAACCCUGAUCCAGCCAUGCCGCGUGUGUGAAGAAGGCCUUCGGGUUGUAAAGCACUUUUGUUGGGGAAGAAACCGGCCGGGUUAAUACCCUGGUUGAAUGACGGUACCCAAAGAAUAAGCACCGGCUAACUUCGUGCCAGCAGCCGCGGUAAUACGAAGGGUGCAAGCGUUACUCGGAAUUACUGGGCGUAAAGCGUGCGUAGGCGGUUUGUUAAGUCUGCUGUGAAAGCCCUG